GCUCGCAUUACCGCCUGAGCUCCAUCUGCUGUCAGCAUUAUGCAAAGCUGUACGAUACAAUAUAGCCCUCUGCCAGCAGAUCUGUUACUAAAGGAAUUCAUGCAUCUUGCAUCUUGAAGAUGCAUUAUUAAUGCCUGGACAAAUCACAUCAGGUGAAACACAGCAAGUCCCUGGCACUGAAGAAAAGGAACAAAGGCUGGUUCUACAAGAGAGCAAUGGAUGAGACAAAUUAUAACAGCUGGGAGCCUCUUGUGAAUAGCUCUCAGAUGGCAGCUGCAUCAGGACAGCAGAGAGCAACAGUCGCCGUGGGCUGCUUUUCCAUCCAUUGGCUCAUAGAACACUCCAGCAAGAUUGUUCUGGAGUUCUCAUUCUCCUCCUUCCCAGUGCGUCUUGCUGCCGGGCUUCUGAGGCUGAUUUCCUACCUGUGUGCUCUCCUUCAUCAUCUGCAUUCCACCAUCCAUUAAGACACAGCCCAAGUUCUACUUGCAACCACUGCAGUCAAGAGCAAAACCAGUCCUUUCACUCAGCUGGAUCUCUCUUCAGUGGCCUUUUCUUUCUAUACCAUGGAUUGCUAUUUAAAGUUUUAUGUGUUUAUUGCCAAGUCUUUUACAUUAGCUCUGAAGCUACUAAGAGCAGAGACCAUCUCAUAAUAAAUAUUUGCUGUGCCUUGAGUAUGAGAACUGCUUAUACACUUAGGCACUGGUGUAUAGGUGUAUAAAUCAGUUGAUUAAUUAAUUAUGUGCUUUGCUAAUUUGGUUCUGUAAAAUGAUCAGUUGCCAUUUUGGACAACUAUUAGAAACUUCUGAAUUUUUGAAGAGAUUUCUGGGAAAUAUGUGGCCUAUUAUAAGAACUAGAUUUUUGAAUUUCUCUCUGUUUUGAGCUUCAGUGGAAACUAGCACGUAUGGUGAAAACAGGGAUAGUCAAUAAAUGCUGAAAGAAAGAACCAAUGAAUGAAUGACUGAGCAUUGAGUAUGUUUUUCUGUUCUUGGUCUUCUCCUUAGGCCACCUGUACGUAAGACCUCUCUAUUCUAUGCCUACAAAAGUUGAUCAUAAAAUUAUGUAAUCUUCAUUCUUAUGUUUAUUGUUUGUGAUUAUAA
Long non-coding RNA from Physeter macrocephalus (sperm whale), 1097 nucleotides. RefSeq lists it as uncharacterized. The transcript has 4 exons. The record is from RefSeq and is a predicted model, not a curated record. NCBI's taxonomy places the organism in Eukaryota, Metazoa, Chordata, Mammalia, Artiodactyla, Physeteridae.